This 676-nucleotide ribosomal RNA is filed under the name uncultured bacterium. Its description in RNAcentral is "bacterial SSU rRNA". It matches the Rfam family "Bacterial small subunit ribosomal RNA", at positions 8 to 694 of the family's 1533-position model. The record is from RNAcentral.
AGAGUUUGAUCCUGGCUCAGGACGAACGCUGGCGGUGUGCUUCACACAUGCAAGUCGAGCGAAUGAAGUAGGUAGCUUGCUACUUAUGGAUUUAGCGGCGGACGGGUGAGUAAUAUAUAGGAAUCUGCCUUAGAGCGGGGAACAACAGACCGAAAGGUUUGCUAAUGCCCCAUAGGUAUGCGGUCUUCGGAUUGUAUAUUAAAGGAGUAAUCCACUCUAAGAUGAGCCUGUAUCCGAUUAGCUAGUUGGCGGGGUAAAGGCCCACCAAGGCUACGAUCGGUAGUUGGUCUGAGAGGAUGAUCAGCCACAAUGGGACUGAGACACGGCCCAUACUCCUACGGGAGGCAGCAGUGGGGAAUUUUACACAAUGGGGGAAACCCUGAUGUAGCGACACCGCGUGAACGAAGAAGCCUUUUGGGGUGUAAAGUUCUGUCGGCUGGAACGAAAAAAAUGACGGUACCAGCAAAGGAAGCAUCGGCUAACUACGUGCCAGCAGCCGCGGUAAGACGUAGGAUGCAAGCGUUGUCCGGAUUUAUUGGGCGUAAAGAGUUCGUAGGCGGUUAUUUAAGUCUGAUGUUAAAUACUGUGGCCCAACCACAGAACUGCAUUGGAUACUGGAUGACUUGAGUGCGGUAGAGGCAAGUGGAAUUCCCAGUGUAGCGGUGAAAUGCGUAGA